CCUCCUCCUAGAAGCUUUGAGGUGUUGUUGCUGUGCCACAUGUAUGUCAGUAGAUAGCAGAGAGAGGAGCUCUGUCUACACUUAGUGGUCUGCCCUAUGAACAUCUGAAUUAUUAGUACCUGAACAUU
Molecule: small nucleolar RNA, 128 nt
Organism: Psammomys obesus (fat sand rat)
Lineage: Eukaryota; Metazoa; Chordata; Mammalia; Rodentia; Muridae
Product: small nucleolar RNA SNORA17
Exons: 1
Source: RefSeq, a predicted model, not a curated record